This 372-nucleotide ribosomal RNA is filed under the name uncultured organism. Its description in RNAcentral is "bacterial SSU rRNA". It matches the Rfam family "Bacterial small subunit ribosomal RNA", at positions 526 to 896 of the family's 1533-position model. The record is from RNAcentral.
CGGAGGGUGCGAGCGUUGUCCGGAAUCACUGGGCGUAAAGGGCGCGUAGGCGGAGCGAGGAGUCAACGGUGAAAGCUCGGGGCUCAACCCCGAGUCGGCCGUCGAUACUCUCGUGCUGGAGCACUGUAGAGGCAGGUGGAAUUCCGGGUGUAGCGGUGGAAUGCGUAGAGAUCCGGAAGAACACCGGUGGCGAAGGCGGCCUGCUGGGCAGUAGCUGACGCUGAGGCGCGACAGCGUGGGGAGCAAACAGGAUUAGAUACCCUGGUAGUCCACGCCGUAAACGAUGGGCACUAGGUGCUUGGGGGAGCGACCCUCUGAGUGCCGGCGCUAACGCAUUAAGUGCCCCGCCUGGGGAGUACGGCCGCAAGGCUG